UCAUUUGUUCUUCCUGUAAAUGUUCCCUCCUUUAUAAAAUCCCAAAAUGAAUAUUUCUAAAAUGUUGCUUUCUUCCUCUCUUUGUUAAGCUACAGAUGGAAUUGGCCAGUCACCAGAUCUUAGCUGUCAGAUGUUGUCAAAUUUGGGAGGAUUUCUAUGAAGCUCCUGUUAAAUAUACCAGUUCCAAAGCAACAACAGAAGACACCUAUCUCUCAGUAGGAACAAAGAGAGAAAUGAGGAGCUUGUGUCACAUUGGAAAUAAAGUGACCCUGGAUCUCACAGUGACCAGUGACAUUCUCUGGGCCAAUUGAUUUACAUUUGCAGCAUGUCAUUUCCCAGGGGAAGAACCACAGUGACUGGACCACCAUUGGAGAAGCAAAGAGUAUUUUGUUCCUGAAGUAGUAAGGGUUGAAAACAAAAGUAUUCCCCAACUAAGCACUGAGUAAGCACACAUGAGGUCUUAAUGUUUAUACUUAGCAAGAAAAAAACUUCAAGUAACUCACAAAGCUUUCAGACACACUUAAAAAUAUAAGCCAUGGAAAAGAAAAGACUGCCAUCCUGAACCUCUAACUCUUUGGAGAACCAAGUUGAAUCAUUUUCUCUGAAAUAUUGAGCAUGUUGCACCUGAACUCAACCUGUAUGCUAUACACAUAAUUAACCAUGAACAUGGAUAUGAUUUAAUGGUUAAUGAAACCCACAAAUAGAUCACACAUGUGACAGCAUUUUUUCCUCCCUUAAGUUCUUCGAAUCUUCAUUUAAAUGACAAAUGCCAUCUAAAUGCUCUUGAGCAGCAAAUAUCAUU
This is a non-coding RNA of Ictidomys tridecemlineatus (thirteen-lined ground squirrel), 802 nucleotides long. The record is from RefSeq and is a predicted model, not a curated record. Lineage: Eukaryota; Metazoa; Chordata; Mammalia; Rodentia; Sciuridae.